RNAcentral lists this ribosomal RNA (253 nucleotides) under uncultured bacterium. RNAcentral describes it as "partial 16S ribosomal RNA". It matches the Rfam family "Bacterial small subunit ribosomal RNA", at positions 524 to 776 of the family's 1533-position model. The record is from RNAcentral.
UACGUAGGGUGCAAGCGUUAAUCGGAAUUAUUGGGCGUAAAGCGCGCGUAGGCGGCUACCUAAGUCGGAUGUGAAAGCCCCUGGCUUAACCGGGGAAGUGCACCCGAAACUGGGUAGCUAGAGUGCAAAAGAGGGUCGCGGAAUUCCCAGUGUAGAGGUGAAAUUCGUAGAUAUUGGGAGGAACACCGGUGGCGAAGGCGGCGACCUGGGUUGACACUGACGCUGAGGCGCGAAAGCGUGGGGAGCAAACAGG